RNAcentral lists this ribosomal RNA (1131 nucleotides) under Dermacoccus profundi. RNAcentral's name for it is "bacterial SSU rRNA". It matches the Rfam family "Bacterial small subunit ribosomal RNA", at positions 83 to 1228 of the family's 1533-position model. The record is from RNAcentral. Lineage: Bacteria; Bacillati; Actinomycetota; Actinomycetes; Micrococcales; Dermacoccaceae.
UGGUGUGGAUUAGUGGCGAACGGGUGAGUAACACGUGAGUAACCUGCCCCUUAUUUUGGGAUAAGCCUGGGAAACUGGGUUUAAUACUGGAUAUGACCAAUCAUUGCAUGGUGUGUUGGUGGAAAGAUUUUUUGGUGGGGGAUGGACUCGCGGCCUAUCAGCUUGUUGGUGGGGUAAUGGCCUACCAAGGCGACGACGGGUAGCCGGCCUGAGAGGGCGACCGGCCACACUGGGACUGAGACACGGCCCAGACUCCUACGGGAGGCAGCAGUGGGGAAUAUUGCACAAUGGGCGAAAGCCUGAUGCAGCGACGCCGCGUGAGGGAUGACGGCCUUCGGGUUGUAAACCUCUUUCACCAGGGACGAAGCUAACGUGACGGUACCUGGAGAAGAAGCACCGGCUAACUACGUGCCAGCAGCCGCGGUAAUACGUAGGGUGCGAGCGUUGUCCGGAAUUAUUGGGCGUAAAGAGCUUGUAGGCGGUUUGUCGCGUCUGCUGUGAAAGACCGGGGCUUAACUCCGGUUCUGCAGUGGGUACGGGCAGACUAGAGUAUGGUAGGGGAGACUGGAAUUCCUGGUGUAGCGGUGAAAUGCGCAGAUAUCAGGAGGAACACCGAUGGCGAAGGCAGGUCUCUGGGCCAUUACUGACGCUGAGAAGCGAAAGCAUGGGGAGCGAACAGGAUUAGAUACCCUGGUAGUCCAUGCCGUAAACGUUGGGCGCUAGGUGUGGGGCUCAUUCCACGAGUUCCGUGCCGCAGCUAACGCAUUAAGCGCCCCGCCUGGGGAGUACGGCCGCAAGGCUAAAACUCAAAGGAAUUGACGGGGGCCCGCACAAGCGGCGGAGCAUGCGGAUUAAUUCGAUGCAACGCGAAGAACCUUACCAAGGCUUGACAUACACCGGAAUCAUGCAGAGAUGUGUGCGUCUUCGGACUGGUGUACAGGUGGUGCAUGGUUGUCGUCAGCUCGUGUCGUGAGAUGUUGGGUUAAGUCCCGCAACGAGCGCAACCCUCGUUCCAUGUUGCCAGCACGUGAUGGUGGGGACUCAUGGGAGACUGCCGGGGUCAACUCGGAGGAAGGUGGGGAUGACGUCAAAUCAUCAUGCCCCUUAUGUCUUGGGCUUCACGCAUGCUAC